RNAcentral lists this ribosomal RNA (462 nucleotides) under uncultured bacterium. Its description in RNAcentral is "bacterial SSU rRNA". It matches the Rfam family "Bacterial small subunit ribosomal RNA", at positions 356 to 831 of the family's 1533-position model. The record is from RNAcentral.
GGGGGAUAUUGCACAAUGGGGGAAACCCUGAUGCAGCAACGCCGCGUGAGGGAAGAAGGUUUUCGGAUUGUAAACUUCUGUCCUAGGUGAAGAAAGAAAUGACGGUAGCCUGGGAGGAAGCUCCGGCUAACUACGUGCCAGCAGCCGCGGUAAUACGUAGGGAGCGAGCGUUGUCCGGAAUUACUGGGUGUAAAGGGUGCGUAGGCGGCCUUGUGGGUCAGGCGUGAAAUACAUGGGCUUAACUCAUGGACUGCGCUUGAAACUAUAAGGCUUGAGUGAAGUAGAGGUAGGCGGAAUUCCCGGUGUAGCGGUGAAAUGCGUAGAGAUCGGGAGGAACACCAGUGGCGAAGGCGGCCUGCUGGGCUUUAACUGACGCUGAGGCACGAAAGCAUGGGUAGCAAACAGGAUUAGAUACCCUGGUAGUCCCAUGCCGUAAACGAUGAUUAUUAGGUGUGGGUGGUC